Molecule: ribosomal RNA, 472 nt
Filed under: Streptococcus mutans
Lineage: Bacteria; Bacillati; Bacillota; Bacilli; Lactobacillales; Streptococcaceae
Description: bacterial SSU rRNA
Rfam family: Bacterial small subunit ribosomal RNA
Source: RNAcentral
GACGAACGCUGGCGGCGUGCCUAAUACAUGCAAGUGGGACGCAAGAGAACACACUGUGCUUGCACACCGUGUUUUCUUGAGUCGCGAACGGGUGAGUAACGCGUAGGUAACCUUCCUAUUAGCGGGGGAUAACUAUUGGAAACGAUAGCUAAUACCGCAUAAUAUUAAUUAUUGCAUGAUAAUUGAUUGAAAGAUGCAAGCGCAUCACUAGUAGAUGGACCUGCGUUGUAUUAGCUAGUUGGUAAGGUAAGAGCUUACCAAGGCGACGAUACAUAGCCGACCUGAGAGGGUGAUCGGCCACACUGGGACUGAGACACGGCCCAGACUCCUACGGGAGGCAGCAGUAGGGAAUCUUCGGCAAUGGACGAAAGUCUGACCGAGCAACGCCGCGUGAGUGAAGGAGGUUUUCGGAUCGUAAAGCUCUGUUGUAAGUCAAGAACGUGUGUGAGAGUGGAAAGUUCACACAGUGACG